CUCUCCCCGCCGCGGCAGCAGGAGGAACCCGGGCGGCUAUCGAGGCUGGCGAUGGGGUUAAGCGCCCCUCGUGCGUGAGCCCGCCGCCGCCGCGCCGGCCCGAGUCCGCCGGUCGCGCCGCCGCAGCCGCGGGAGUACUGCAUUUGGGACUUGCUUUUUGGUUGAAUGCUAAGCAGAAGAUACGAUGAUGGCAGUCGUGUUGCGAAUGUUAGGUUAGAAAUACUUAUCAUUUAAGUGAAAACAACACAAGUAAAAUUCUGCUCUUACGGUAUUUUUUAUUUUUUAUUUUUUGGAAAAGAUGUUAUUCGACCAAUUUGCCUCUCAUGAGGAAGAAACAGCAGUGGCAACGUAUUUAUUUGAUGGUCUGCCUUUAGUUACAGGUGGUGAUAGUGUUAUCACCAGACAUGAUAUUAAACCUUUCUUUUUUUAAUUUCCUUCGAGAAGUACUGUGGUCUUCGGGGUUGGAGUGUUUUGUAGAAGAUCUGUAAGUUAUAGUUUGUUCUCUGAUAUUAAGAAAAAACACAACAGUGGAAAAGGUAACAUUAGGACUUGUUGUGUCUUAAGUCAUGGAAGGUCAGAAAGGUAAUCAUAACUCAGUUCUACUUGUUUUACAAAACUAUAAUUGCUACUGAGACCAGGAUUUGUUCCUUUUCUCAGGAGGAAACAUGGCUACGACUAAAUAUUAGUCAUUGUGAGGGAUGUACACACAACGUUGAGGAGAUGGAUAUUGUGACCUUCGUAUUUCUCUUAAACAUAGACUUAUACUUAACAUAGAAUUGCAUCUUAUACUUUUUUUCUCUGUUCUGUUAUGUUGUAGAAGUUUGAUAUUCAUUGCUCCUUAUGUUUCAUUAUAGUUGCCUCACAUCAUUCUUUCUCAUUUUAUAAUACUUGCUUAAAGCCUAUCUGUGUGACUGCUUCAAACCAGCUGGAUGCAGUAGGUGAAAUGCUUUAGAUCUAGCUCCAGAUGCAAAAUAGAAGUAUCAUUCUUGAGAGGUGCUGUCAGCUUUGUCCCGUAGCUUAACUUAAGUUCAUGUGUCCUUGCAAUGCUACUUCAAGUCAUUUAUUUCUCUACUGGGUUGGUUUGCAGUGCCAUAUCCUUAAAUAGGAUACUUUUUAAGUUUGAGGCACUCUAUUGUAGGCUUUUAAAAGCAGUCGAUACAAUUGUGCUUUUUUGUCUCCUUGAGGUCUGUUGAACUUGUAUUCCAAAUGAGUGAGUUUUGAGGUAAUGAUCAUGGAGCAAAAGGAACUUUGCAGUGCAGUAUAGAUUGAGUUUUAUAAAAACCUUUAAAAACCUUUGCAUAUGUUGAGUGAGCAUAUAUGUAGUGAGCUACGUAACUGUGCUGUAACUUUACUGCUUGUGAAAAAUAGCACUAACUUUGGAUAUUCUGAUUUGUGUUAGCCAACGUAAUCACUACAAAGCACACUGACUGAACUUUUCUAGUAGAUUCUAGUUCCUCUUCUACUCAGAGUUAAGCAAUAGCUAGUAAACACAAAAUAUUGUUGUUAUUGGAUGUAACAUCUAAGGAGCUUUCACAGAGGCGGUGGAGUAUUCUGUAAAGCUGGCGCUGUUAGACUGGGAGGACUGCAGAGAUGUUUGGGUUUGGGAGCCCAGUUAAUCUCUUAGUGGCAGUUUUCCCACCUACAUUCCGUGUAGGGAUGGUUUGAUAGAAAUGACCCAGGGGCUUUUGUUAAAAAGUGCAUUCCAAAUUGAGCCUUUAAAUAAUGGAAAGAUGAGUUGUUUGGCUCUGCAGGAUAUUCACAAUAAGGCCAUUCACACUUUUUUUUUUUUUUAAGGAAAGAAGAAUCUAUGAGAAUGCCUUAAUUUGGUGCUUAUUCAGGAUGAUUGGUAGCACUUAUGCAAGCCCUUAAAGUAUGCUUUUUCUUUGAGUUUCUUUGUUGGUUUUUCUUUGAGGUGGUAAACUGAUGCACUGUAUAACAGUGUUAUGUUAAGAGGUUUUCUGAAAGUGGUAUUGGAAAGCUAUUCCUAGGAGAUCAUAAAUCAGCAAUAGGUUCUGAUGAAAUGUGGCUGGGAAGAUGGUACUUUCAGCCUACCUGUAACCCUAAUUCGAUUUCAAGACUUUUCGAAGGAGUCCUGUAGAGGAAGUAAUAUCUGUAACCAGAUUUAUGGAAGCUCAGCAGCUUUAAUUACAGAAAAGCCAGCACUGCUACUCCUGCACAUAAGUUAGCCUCCAGAUUAAUGCAGGUAUUAUGAGAAUUCUGUCACUGUGUCACUUUGUGAUAUGAACCAUUUUCCAAUAGGGAGCAUUUAUGUUUCCAAGCAUAUUAUAUUUUCUUUCUGUAUGCUUGUAUCCAGGCUGAUGAAGCAAGCUGUAGAUUUGAAGUGUGGCUAAAGGAUGCUUAAUCGAGGGUUUAUUUUCUGUUCUUCAUCUUUGAUUCACUUUGGAAGGCAAUAGGACAUUUUCUCUUUGCAGCCACUGCUUUCUGUAUAAUGAUGUAUAUGCUGCAUAGUUUAUAUGUCCUUGUUCAUAUGCUAAGUUUUUCUGGUUUUUUAUUCCUUUCCUAACAUGAAUUCUUAUUGUUUAAUCUGUAAUUUGGAGCAUUUUCUGUAUAAAGUGGAGUUUUGUCCUUUAGCAUGCUCAGCUCUCUUCUCAGCUCCCUCACCAGUUUUAUUUGCUACCAAGUUUAUACUACCAUUUAUGGAAGGUCUUUGUCCAACCGUGUACAGAAGGGUCUGAUGACUGAAGCUUAUUGUGACAAACGUCUGUCGUUAAAGAUAUGGCUGAAUAGCAUAGCAUAAUUAUUACUUCCUUUCAAAAGUAUAGGUUUGAUUAGCUAGUAUGACCAGGGUAAAAAAAAUCUCUAAAAGGUACAAAUACAGAAACUGUUAUUGUUAGGUUUGAUGCAGCUGAGUAUUCUAAGCAAAGCUCCAGUGCUGAAUUUCAGACUAAAGGACAAAAGCGUGCUACAAUAGCUGAAUGUUACAUUGCCAUACUUGUUUUGAAAAAGUACACUUUCUGCGAAGUGAAGUGUAAUAAUUUUCUGUUCAUGUGAAGUUCCAACUAAGCCAUUUUACUUCGUGUUACAGUAGAACGAGAUAUAAACAGAUGUGCUCCUUGCAGCUAUCUGCCUGCAUGCAGGAAUCUGUCAUACUGACAUAUUAGCUUUUUGUCGACACCCUCUUAUCACCCCCUCUGAUCUGUUAAUUGGGCUGUUAUUAUGAGCAGUUUUUGAGCAUUUCACUUUAGACUGUGUAGGAUGUAGGGCUCUUUUUUAAUUCUAAUUUAAACACGUCUAGGGAAGCUCACAGGAACAGUUUAGCUGGCAGAUGGAGGAAAUGGUGACUUGGAAGUGAGAUCAGUGACUUCUUUCGCUGGUGCAGCUGAAUCUAGAAAUCUGAAUCUAGGCUGUUUGGUGUGCAGCUGGUGAGGGAAUUUUGAACUAACUCAAGUGCUUUUGCCAGUAACAGAUUGAGGAGUGUUCUCCGAGUCCUUUUUGAUGUCAGAGCUCUGGGUGUGCUGCUGAUGGUGAGUACCUGGGAGUAAUUGCAUCACUGACCACCACGCUGGAUCUACAGGAUUAUUUUAAUUUGUUUUCAUAUUUUAAGUGAGCUCAGAAUUAUUUGUUGUGUUACUGCAGAGAUGUAGUAGGAGUUUUUAAAGUCACUGGAAAAUUACUGAGCUUUAUGUAUUUCAGACUUCAAUCAAGUGGGUUUUUGUUUGUUUGGUUGGUUGGUUUUGGUUUGUUUUUUUUUUGCACCCAAGUGAUUCAGUAGAGGAGAUCAGAAAAUUAGCACAUCAGUUUGUGGGAAUUUCUUGUCUGUAUUCUCAAGGAGUUCUAUGGAGUAUUUCAAUGAAAGGUACAGUAAAAGGCUUGUUUCCUUGAAAGCACCAUAAAUCUCUCUGUCUCUCGAUUUAAGAGAUAUUUCAGAUUUGGUCUGCACUGUAGGUGUUCAAAGAGUGAGACGUGAUGCCUGGAUUAUAUUGUUCUCAUUUUCCUUCAUAAUCUAUUGAAUCUUUUUCAGAACUUUAAAGCAGGAACCAAACCCUUGCCAGUUUCUAACUUCUCUUUGAACUGCCUCGAUUGCUUAACAUAGCUACCCAGAAUGAUAGUACCUUGCCUCAAAAUAAAACUCUGCUUGGGUUUUUGAGUUGAUGCAUCCUUAUCUUUUUUAACCUUGGGAAGUCAGACUACUCCCAAACAAGAACUUUUUGCCUAAGGACUUUCCUUCUGACUAAAGGAAGCUGACUAAUGUUCUUGUGUUAAUGACUAUUUGCAUACACUUCAAUGGAAGGAACUGUUGUAAAAUGGAUAAUUAGAUAUUGAUAGUAUCUACUGAUAGUAAUUCUGUUUUUAGAAUUAGCAGUAACAAGGCGUUGAUUUUUUUGUUUUCAUUUUUUUUUAAUUUGUAACAAAGAUAGCAAGUAAUUAGUCUCCUAGCUCAGGUGUUAUGGGGUUUUUUUCCUUAAGCACCUCAAAGUAAUGUUUAGUGUAUUUUCAUUGCAAAUAAUGCCUGAAAAGGAUUCUAGGCACGUGUUUCGUUGCACAUUACAUUAUUUUCAUGGAAAUAUAAGCUCCUCUUUCAAGGGUGUGAAGCUGUAUCAGAAGUCAGUAACACCCUUGUGGUAUGGGAUGGGAGGAGGAACAGGACGUGCAGAGCUACUUAGUGACUUGAUGAAGGCAACCAUAGGAAUGUUAAUGCCUUCUGGCUAGACUUGUGGUUAGUAAGUGGAUAUUAACCUUUCACCACUUGAACUUCUAUGUUACUUCAUAAAAAAUCCUAGUAUUUUUUGAUCCUAAUGUUUUGUGUGGUUAGAUUACUCAGGUCCUUUUUUCUACCCUUUUCAAAUAAUGGCUACAAAAGCAAGAUAUCUGUAGCUAUAUGGACCUUCUUGUUACUGGGAGAAGCAAGCCUAGCUUUUAAUGAUUUAAAUACAGCAAAGCCUUCAUCCAGCAUCUUGAAUUAAGACCAUGUAUUGGCUGAGGUUUCUGAGCUCAAAAAGCUACUUUUAGGCUGAACUCUUGGAGCAGUCAGAUGAACAGAAUAAAUGUUACUAGGAUAAUCCCAUGAUUGCAAUGUAUGAUAAUCCGGUGGUAGGUUGUUUGUUUAGCUGUGAUGACAUCCUACUAGUUUCUAUCUAAUCUUGUAUUUUACUGACACUGUAAAGUUUAAUUUGCAAAGCACAAAGAGCAGUAGUCUUGAGUAAGACUUGCAUAUCACAACAGCAGUGAAGGCUGUGCUAGCUCAGAAUACAAUCAGCUUUUAUUUUCUGGCUUUUCCUGUUAAAAUGUUGGACAAUGUUAGACUUGAUUUGUGUUCCUAUCUUCUUUGGUCCACAGCAGUUUGAAAGCUUAAACGUAAUACGUUCCAUGAAGAUCAAGAAAUGUAAAUGUCUAGGUAUUCUCAGUAUCUCUCUUUCUUGUCCUGCCUUCCAACAUGGAGUAAAUAUAGGCUCAUUUUUAGCAGAAAGCAGCUCAGCCCAUUUCUAACAUUGCAAUAAUUGGGUGUGGGGAACCUUGAAAAGAUUUUUCAACUCUGGUCAGACAAUGUGUCUGACAGUAUGCCUGUGAUUCAGAGGAAUGUUUUAGGUCACUGCUGACAAUUCUAGAAUACGUUGCUUGUCUGAGAUCGGAGUGAUCUGAUGGGGUUCUUAGUUGUCCAAUGCUGUCCUAAAUAUCUUGUAUCCGUGUGCUGCUCCUCCACUGUGGUGUUGUCCUGUAGACGUGCUGUAUCUGGCCACACUAGAUGCCUGUAUCUGGGCAGCUCGCUCGCUCUUGACAUAGCAAGAAUUUCCUUCAGCAUGAAGUUAACAUUCGACUUCAGUAUUGCUUAUAACUUAGCAAACUCAACAUACUUAUGUUUGCACUAUCAGUAGUUUUCUGUAUCCAUUCUUCACUCAUGCCUGCAAGUGCUGCAAGUACGUGGUUAUAAUUGCUGAGAUUUUAAAACAUUGAAACUAAGUUUGAGUUGAGGCUGUGUAAGUACUAAUAAUAGGUUGAGUGUAGGCAUGGCUACUGUAAGGAGGCUGCAUGCCCUCAGGUGUUCAAUGAUAGGCUUCCAUAGACCUUGCUGGAGGACAAAGCAUUGAUUUUAAACUGUUCUUUGAAAUUUUUAGAAAUAUAACUAAAAUCAAAGGAUGCAUCCAGCGUAUAACUAGGAUUUUUCUUUAAGUGGACUUUCUCCAGCGUCUUCUAAUUAGAAGGAAAAAUUCUUGCUGACACUAAAAAAGAGUUCUUACUAGGCUAAUUAAAAACAAAGUUGGACAAAUACUCAGUUCCCAGUCAAUCUAGUCUAUCUGUAGUACUAAUUAUCAGCAAAAUAAUGGAAUGCAUGUGGACAGGUAUGAAACUUAAUGCACUCUGCAUUGCAUGAAUGUCUGAAAACAGAAGGUAGAGACUCUGUGGGUCCAGGCCCUUGUUGUUGCAGGAAAGAAUCAAUUCUUAACUGUCUCAAAUAUAAACAUUAAUUGGAUUGCUGGCUGUCUCCUUUCCUGACAGAUAGUAUUUACUUAUUCUGGUUCUUUAAUGUCUUCUGGCCUCCAGCAUGGCUGGCUGUGGUGAGUUCAUAGCGCGUGGUUUUGUGACAUUUUCCUCUAGUGUAAGUAGCUCUUCUGCCCACCUGUUGUCUCCUACAGCCACGUGUGCCAUUUGAUAGAGACUAAUUGCUCUUCAGUCUGUGUUUUGACUAAAUGCUCUUUUUCAGUCUCUUCUUCAGCUACGUUAUUUUUAGAGUGCAGUGGUGCUUUUCAUGCAAGGUUUUACCAGUGCAAAUGCCAUUUUUCUAUCUCAUGUUUCACCAGGGCUUCAUUAAAACGACACUUGUGCUUCUAUAGGGAAUUUCUCUAUAUUAAAGAAUGCAUUAAGUCAGUACUCCAUUAUCAGCAUCCUCGAGAUAAUCUUUUUCCUCUCCAGGUUGCACUUCCCAUAUUUAUGAUCCACGGGUGUUAGUGUUACGUUUCAGGCAGCAGGACUUGAAAUGAAGCAAAGUUGGUCUCAGGCUCGUAGUUAUAAUCCUUUCAUCCAUUUGCCCCCUCCAUUAAUUUACUGCUUUUUAUAAUACCUUUUGUUAGUAAGCCUUCUAAUUACCUACGAUUAUUUCUGUUAAUCUUCAUUGUUUCUACUUUAUUUCCUGUGUGAUACCACAUGUAAUUCAAAUAGGUAAUGCCUACUCCUUUUCUUUCUUAAGAAAUAUUUCUUUAUUAAAUAGAGUUGUUUGGCAUAAUCUGUGUGGUGCACACGUUCUCGCAACUCAUUUUCUGUUGACUUUGUUGCCUUUGGUUCAUGCUUUCCUUUAGAAUGUGCUGAAAACCCAAACAUACGGUUAUUUUUUCCUUAUGUUUAGUUCUUUGCUUGUCUUACUAACAUCAAAUGUAGUUAUUGGUUAUGCUGUUUUCAGCACUUACAUUGUGAAUCUUGUUUUUGCUUUGAACAUACUCUUUCAACUUCAAUUUCAGAUGUGCCAUAGAGUUUUUCUCCGGUUCUUCUAUUUAUGUGGAACACAAAACUUUUGUUAGCAAGUUCUGACUCCUGUUACUUUUUGUUGCUCCGUCUGUUUUUUUUAAAUUAUUAUCUGUGUAUUAUUUUUUUUCCUUUUCACACAGCUGAGUUUGUAGCUUUUUCUUUUAAAAGGAUCUCCUCCCUUCCAGCCCCUUCUCCCUUUGCUUUAGGGAAUCUGUGGUGCAGGUAAGUUCCAUAAGUAUUCUAAUGAAGAAUCCUUAAGUAAGCUAGGUACAUAACUAUAAAAUAGAAAACAUAAAAUUGCAAUUUUUCAUGUAUAUUAAUUUAACUAGUGUAUCUAUGUAAGGAAAUGAUGCAUCAGGGACAGUGUGAUUGUCCUCAAGCCCUGGAUUGUUGUACUCUGAGGCUAUAUCAGAGUUCCUGACCUGGAUUGUCUGUAAAGGUAAAGCCAUUUGGUCAGAGAAACGCAGACUUCUAAUAGUAAUUCUAAUAAUGUUAGCUAUUCUGUUAAUUGGCAAUACUACUUUUCUUGAAUAUUCUGAAAAUAUGAAUGUGACUCUUAAAGAUUCAGUUGUAACAUCACUGCCUCUUUAAGCUUUCUCCUUACCCCACAUUUGGUAUCAGUGAGAAUGAGAGCUUUCUGGUGUGUUCCCACUGCCUGUGUGUGUUGGGCUGUGCAUAAUGUAGGUUGUAAAUAAAGAACCCUUAAAAUGUGAAAGUUUUCUUUCCUGUUCUAUUGAGCUUUGACAACCUUUCUGCCCCCAGAUCCAGGUGUAUAUGCUUUUGUUUAGCUAGUGAAAGGGCUGCUUGGUGUUUGGGUUUUGAGGAUGGCUGGUUUUUCCCUGUCAAGUUUACUUUGACUCAGUUGUGGAAUCUUAGAGAUGUUUUUGAAGAAAAUACAGGCCCUUUUUUUGUUGUUUCCUUCAUACAAUUUUCCUUCUCCAAACUAGCUGUCCAGAAAAUUUUCAGGUAACUUCAUCAAAUUCUGGAGUGCUGUAUUUGUUUCUUAAAUAGACAUUAAAUGGUGGGAGUUCAAGAUCCUUCAGAAUAUAGAUUUAUGGGUGGCAGUCUUUGUCCUGUGUUCACACUUCACAAAAGAAAAUUGUCACGCUUGAAACCUUCAUUAUGUUUACUCCUAGAUAUUCCAUCCCUUCUAAAGAGGGAGAUGCUGAUGCAGUGUUUGAUCCCAGUAGAUUUCCUUAGUGUGUGGCCAUUUGCUUCAUUGAUUAAACUGUGAGGGAGGAGGUUACGUUUGGCACAUAGUGCCAAAGUUUGCAUUGCUUCCUUGACAGAACUCUCUGCUCCUUAAGAAAAUGAAAUAUCUUUGAAAGCUCUGGGUACCAGGAUGGCAGAAAUUGAUGCUCUGUGUGUGUUGUUUCCUUUUUUUUUCCUGUCAGGGAAAGGAGAAAUAGGCUUUCCAUCUCCCUUGUGCUUGGGUCUGAGCAAUUAGGCUGCUCUUCUAAUGAUAUGCUUUCAAAAGCGUUCAUUAAGAAGCAGCGGGAUGCUCAUUUUUCUCUGCUUUCCUGUGUUACCAGGCUUUUCAGUUUAGCAAUAUAGAAUCAUGCAUAAACAGCUGUUGAGUCAGGCCGUCGUAUCACUGAGGCAAUUGUCUUCUGCCCUCCCUCCGAUGAGAAAGUUGAACAAAGGAAUUUACAAAAUUAAACUGCAAUGCAGGGCGCUGCUUAACACUGGAUCGUAAACCCCAUUUAGAAAAGCUGCUGCAGAGCACAGUAGCUCAUUUAUAAACAAUUCAGGAGGACUAACUAUAAGAAUCAGAUAGCGUAAUCCUCUGCAAAUUGAACUGUCUCUACUAAAUGGUCUUCAGUUGUGGUUUCUGCAGGAAAAUGGUUUAGCUGUAACAGAGUUCAGGAAGGUUUGCUGGCUCAGAAACAUGGCUGAUUAGAUUUGACCAGAUAUCAGCUUUUUGGAUAUCAGCUUUUUGUUGUGAGAUUUUACUGAGUGAACUCCAGUUUGAAAACCAUUCCUAGGUCUGUGGUAUUCAGGUCUGGAUGGCUGUUGCAUGUGAUAACAUGACAGUUUAAUGUGCCAUGUGUUCUAGAGCUUGACCUUAAAUUAAUGCAUAUUAGUUGAAAAUGGGCUAAACUGAAACAGUUGUUCUUAGUAAAUAGAUACACUUAAUGGAUAGUGGAAUUCUCAGUUCAUCUAAAUGAUUCUGAAUAAUUUUAUUAUCUAAUUACACUGUUCUUUUGGAACACUUUUUCAUCACAUUAACUUUGUGAAGCAGCUUUGUACUUACAAACGCUUAUGUACAGUCAUCAUGUACUGAAUGAAUUUAUAUCUCAGUGCAUAAACUAUGUUAAUCUCCAGGUAUUGAGAACAUAGAUUAAAAUGCUCUUUACUGUUUUAUUGGUGCUUAAAGUGGAGGUCUGAGACAUUUGACACAAAGGACGUUGGUUUUUUUGUUUGUGUUUGCAUAUCUCAUUACAGCUUCUGAACUCAGUGAACUUGCAGGAAGUAUCAGCUCAGUUCUAAACAAGUAAAAUAGCUUACCUUCUGUCAUAUUGAGCAAAAGAAUAAUCACAGCUGACCUUGUCCAGAUGCUUAGAUUAUUGCUAGCCAGUUAAUCAGAGGCUUUGCUGGAAAAAUAAAAGAAGGAAUUUAAAUCAGUUCUGAAGUUCUAGUUGGACAUUCAGUUAUCAGAGUUGAAUAAAGGUUUUAAAUUGACAAAAUCCUGCCAAGUCUUGCUGCCAUUGCUUUUCAAGUGCGAUAACAGUAUCUGAAGACAGUGCAUAAGGAUUCCUUUGCCAUAGCAGGAAUUUUUCUGCAUGCAUAGUGCAAUGCAAGUGCAUGAUGGAUAGAAUGUGUGCAGCUCUUCUCAGUCUGUUCCACAGGUCAUUAUUUUUUUGUUUGUUCCUGUUCCUCUGGACUUAACUCAUUCAUCAGUACAAGGAUGGUCUUAGACAGAAAACUAGAUUCAGAUUGUUUAAGCCAAAACUAAAAGAACAGUUUUCUGUUGUGUAUCUCAGGAUUUUGUACAAAAGAACUGCUCGUGUCUUUUUAUGCUAGAACCAUGGGUCUUUUUUGUUCAGCCUAGUAAUCUUGCCCUGCAUGUCCUAACAAGGUGCAUGUUUAGAACUCUAAUAAAUACACUAGACAUGGUAUAUAGUAUCUGCAGUUGUGGUGAUGAAAUAGGGCUAUUGCUUUUAUAAAUCUCUCUAUUCAGGAGUACAUAUGAAUAAUUCAGUCAGGAGCCUAAGAUCUUCAUAUAUUGCCACCUGCUCAUUAUUCAGAAUUCUCAUUGCAGACUGCUGUUGCCUUAGCAACAUUCUGAAAAUUAGUACUGCAUUUAUGAGAAAGCUUUUGUUUAUCUAGCGAAGCCCACUAUCCAAUCUGUAAUAUUGCAGGAUGCUCCUCAAGUGGAUACUCUAGGCCCCAGUCCUGGUUGUUUAAAAAAUAGUCUCCUCUUAUGUGGCAUUAAUUGAAGAUUGAUUGUUUGUGUUGUUGCUUUUUUUUUUUAAACCAUAGAUAUUAAAUAUGGUGAUUUAACUUAGUCUCCUUAGUGUCUGAUAAUGCCAUUGCAUGAUUCAUUUGACUAGAGAUGCUUUCCUUUAUAGAUGUGCAAGAAAGUAACAAUCCUGCGUUGACUGCUGGUUUCUUCUCAGGGUCCUUCACUCCCUCUUCUCUCCUGCUCAUUCUUCCCUCUGUGUCUUGACUUUUCCAUGAGAAGUCAGAGCUUGCUUAACCUUGAGUGCUCUGCGAUGUAAAAAGAUAUAUUUGUACUUAAGAAUUUAACGGUAGCUGAAUCUGGAGCAUGGAGGAAGAGGUGGUGGUGUUUAUAGUAAAAUCCAUGAAUCUGCUGUUGUUGUGACCAACGGAAUUUAUCUCAACUUGCUUUCACUGUUACAAGUUAAAUACACUUGCUUCUCUCACAAGAUGUACCCACAGCAUCUCCUUCUGGAGCAAACGAAGGGGCACAGCUGAGAUAUUUGAUGGUUUUGGUUUUCUUGAAGGGAGAGAAAUAAAUUGAAAAACAAUAUUAAAAAUACCCAACUUCCAAAAUCCUCUCUCUUGGCACAAAGCAAAUGAAAGCUGCCAUCUUUCCCCCAACUUUCCUUUCAUUUGCAGUUCAGGUCUUCGUUGCAUGUUGUAUUGAACUUACUUGGUUCAAAUCCUCAGUUGCUCGUUUGGUUCUGAAUCUGCAGAAAGGAAUGUGUACCUGCUCUGAAAGGAAUUUUCACUCUUGGUUUAUCUGACCUAUUGAUUUGCAGAUUCUAAGAUCUGAACAGUAAAGAGGACUUGUACUAAAUCAGCUCUUCAGAAAAAUAGGUAUUUGUCCUGACAUAAAGGCCUCAGUUUAAUACAUUCCAUAGUGUUUUCCCUCUGAAGCAC
RNAcentral lists this long non-coding RNA (11766 nucleotides) under Gallus gallus (chicken). Lineage: Eukaryota; Metazoa; Chordata; Aves; Galliformes; Phasianidae. The record is from RNAcentral.